Non-coding RNA from Maylandia zebra (zebra mbuna), 467 nucleotides. The record is from RefSeq and is a predicted model, not a curated record. NCBI's taxonomy places the organism in Eukaryota, Metazoa, Chordata, Actinopteri, Cichliformes, Cichlidae.
AUAACGACGUCUCUGAGGCGCGAAAUCUGACAGCGAGAGGAACGGCCGGAUACAGGAGACGGGAAGAAACAAGCCGAUUAUGUUCGCGUUAAUUAAGUGGUUGGAAGAUGUAAAAUUCUCAAUUCUGCCAACUGAACAUAUACGAGAUUUUAAUGAGGAUGAAUAAUUAGCCGGCAUGGAGGAAACGGACCUUUAUUUCGUGGAGUGGCGACAAGAAGCCAAGGCGGGUGGCCAGUCUAAGAAGCCUCCAUCAUCAAGCUAGCAGAAAUCCUACCUCUCCUUCUGGCUACAGAGUACUUACCAAGCCCAUGAAAUCGAAUGCAGAUCUUCCUAAUGUGAGAUUUACAUAAAUAUGUCAAAGUCUCAACCUCAUGCUGCCCUCCCCCAUCCUCCUAAACCUGUGGAUACAAAUGCAGAUUUCCUUAAUGUAAGUUGUGCAUUUUAAUUACAUCAUGUUAUUUUUAUUA